Ictalurus punctatus (channel catfish) is the source of this 2325-nucleotide long non-coding RNA. NCBI's taxonomy places the organism in Eukaryota, Metazoa, Chordata, Actinopteri, Siluriformes, Ictaluridae. The record is from Ensembl.
CCUUGUAUAAAAGAUUGUGAUAACACUGGAGACUUGGAUAAACCUUACUCACAUGUGUCUGACAUAAAAAAAAAAAAUAAAAGUAUAAGAAUUUGGCUGGAAGAAAAAAAAAAAAAAAGCGCCAGUAAAUAUAUAGAACAAUAGAAGUUUUUUUUUUUUUUUUUUUUGAAGUUUAAUACAUAUGAAAUAAAAGUUACACUCUUCAUAUUAACCCGUUCUGGAUUUGGGUCUGUUGCUAUGACGAUGUCCUGUGAAAACGCUGUAAAACUGUGCGAGCGAGUAGCUGAAGGAGUGUGUCUGUGUGUGAGAGAGAGAAUCCAGUUGGACAGCUCGCGCUCUUUUUCUCACCCUCUCUCUCCAUUUCAAAAAAAGUAUCCAAAGAAUGUCCACUUUUCUGAAGAGUCCCUGUAUGGUGGAAUGCUAAUUACAGAGCUGAUUUACCAGAAGAAAAAAAAGAAAAGAAAAGAAGAAAAAAAAAAAAGCAGGGUUCAGAGAGCUCGUUUACAGCCGGAAAACCAAAUAAGGGUUGUUUGGGUCCGAACGACUGGCUUUGCUUUCUGGAUCGAAGAUAUGGUGCGUUAAUACAAUGUUGUGGAAACAUGGACACAGCAGCCAUGUCGAAAGAACGCUACGCUCCCACGGAGACGCAACCUCACCCCAUUUCAGCCCAUGAACAAGCUCGGCGAGAGCGAGAGAGGUGGACGUGCUCACGUGUAUCUACACUUUCUAAUGGAAACGGUGCAGUGAGGAACUUUGGACUUUGAAAAGGCCACAAACGUCAAAGAGGGCGCUGGGCCCUCAGAGCUGAGACCAAAACAGCACCGCGGUGAUGAACCGCGAGCGUUCCGAGGACAAUCCGGGAAUUGUAUUGUAGUCCUUUUGUGUGAAAAUACAAGGAGGCUUAACACAACCCAUAACAGGAAAAUAAAGAGAAAUAGGCAAGGGUCAAAACUAGUUAGUACAAAGAUAUACAGAACUUGGAAAACCCCGGGCUUGGACUUAAUGAUACAGAAAGCGUGAUAAGACUUCACUACAAAACACAGAAACACCCAGGUUUAAGUAAACAAACAAAAUCAGUGAGUAACACAGAACAGGCGAACACAAUCAGGCAACAAACCAAUGACAGGGUGCAGACAGGACAAGCCCGAAAACCAAAACAUAAGCACAUGGUAUUAGUUUUAUUGGAUUUUAAAAGGUCUUAAGAUCUUCCAACAUCUCGGAAUCCCUGGCAACUUAGAUUUGUCCCCCCCAACUUAGAUUUGUUGUAGAUGUAUUUUUUUUUUUUUUAAUUAUUAUUUUAUUACGUCAUGUCUCCUGUGUAGUGUUUACGCUUGGGAGAGAGGAAUGUGACCUUGCGUUUUAGCAAAACAAAUCAACCAACAAGCCAAAAUAAGGUAAUUUCCUGCGACUACGGUAAGAAAGGAAGAAGAUGAACACCGUCGGUAAAGCGCUUUAAAAAUGUCUGCCGAUUCAUCGGGUUAUCUCCGAAUACUGUACAGACUGCAGGGUGUGGGGACUUUUAGGGAUACACAUCAGUAGACGUAUGGUAUGGAAGCAAGAACGAGAAGGACCUGAGCUUUUUGUUUGUCUCUUAAAGCUGGACGUUGUUUAACAGAUUGCCGGCUGGCUGGAGUGAUAAUGAGAGAGAUCAGCGUUUGUGGUGUCCCCAGUCCGUCUGUGUAGGAGGAGCCGGCGAGAUUCUGUUCUCGGUAAACAGCUUGGACCGUUGCUCAAGCUUCAGCUGAGUCAGAACCCCUGUGUUGGAGAUUACAGCACAUCCGGACAGCGCUAUCUCGCCACGGCAGCUCAGCGCUGGACAAGAUACUGGAUCUGCGCUCGAACAUUUCCUGCAAUAAAGCUCACCUGCAGGUCAUAUAGUGUGAGAAGUUACUGAAGCGGGGUGAAGAAAUACAUUUACUAGCCAAGACUAACAGUACACCUGGGUGACUAGGAACAGGAGAUCGUUCAACCGUGACUUCCUGUUUCACGGGGGUUCAAAUGAGGUAACACACACGCCAAAUUCCCUUAGUCAUUCAUCACAAUGGGUAAGACCGAGGCAUACAGCUGUGAUGUGCGGCAAAAGGUUGUUGAGCUCAACAAUGUAGGGGUCUAGAUAUAGCGCAACACAAAAAUGUGUUUAAGUUACACCGUUUUAGUCUUUCACGCUUAUCCUGAAGUCGAACCUGGCAUUUGUAUUUGUUCUGAACGGUUUCAGGCAAUAAUCCCCUAACUCGCAGCCAACAUCUUGACUGAAUAUUGACGUGCAUGCGAAAUACCGUUGGCGUAGCGCGACACAUCAGCCAUGCUUCCAUCCGAACAGCUUGC